UACGUAGGGUGCGAGCGUUAAUCGGAAUUACUGGGCGUAAAGCGUGCGCAGGCGGUGAUGUAAGUCAGGUGUGAAAUCCCCGGGCUUAACCUGGGAACUGCAUUUGUGACUGCAUGGCUAGAGUGCGGCAGAGGGGGAUGGAAUUCCGCGUGUAGCAGUGAAAUGCGUAGAUAUGCGGAGGAACACCGAUGGCGAAGGCAAUCCCCUGGGCCUGCACUGACGCUCAUGCACGAAAGCGUGGGGAGCAAACAGG
This 253-nucleotide ribosomal RNA is filed under the name uncultured bacterium. RNAcentral's name for it is "partial 16S ribosomal RNA". It matches the Rfam family "Bacterial small subunit ribosomal RNA", at positions 524 to 776 of the family's 1533-position model. The record is from RNAcentral.